GCCAGGUGUGGUGGUGAUCGCCUGUAGUCCCAGCUACUCGGGAGGCUGAGAUGGAAGGACCGCUUGAGCCCAGGAGUUUGAGACUGCAGUGAGCUGUGAUCACACCUGUGAAUAGCCAUUGCUCUCCAACCUGGGCAACAUAGUGAGACUCUGUCUCUU
Molecule: unclassified non-coding RNA, 159 nt
Organism: Macaca fascicularis (crab-eating macaque)
Lineage: Eukaryota; Metazoa; Chordata; Mammalia; Primates; Cercopithecidae
Rfam family: Metazoan signal recognition particle RNA
About the family: The signal recognition particle (SRP) is a universally conserved ribonucleoprotein.
Source: Ensembl